UUGAAACCUGCGUAAGCUUACACUUAUACACCACAACGCUUAAGUAGAUUAAACAAUUAAAUCCACUUAGCCUCAUCAAUGAAAAUAGACAUCAUCCUUGAUGAAGGGUAUGUGACAAUCCCAUUGCCAUUAUGAAUUUCCAUCACCUUCAUCUAUUGUCUUGAGUUGCGAACCCAACUGCUACACUCCAAGUGUCAAGCUCAACUCCUCAUUGACGUUGUGUUACCUCAUAUCCUGUUACUUCUCGUGAACUUAUCAACAACACAACCUUGCUGUUAAAAUCACGAACCUGUUCAAGUGCUUGAACAAAAACCUUAGCAUCCUUCUGCAAAUUGAUUUCCUCCUUAGCUUUUCGAUUCCACUCAUGUGCACCGAGCCUUGAACCAAAUUCCAUGAAUACUGUGAAACAACCUUUGAACCAUAUAUGCUUUAGACCUGAAACAACCUCUGAUUCUCUACUUAUUUAAAACACUCCAGCCUUGAACACCUUUUUGUACCGCUGUUACUCUGAACAUGACCCGCCAUCCAACCAUCACUGCUGGACAGACUUUCGACACAACCUUAGUUCACCCUUCAUGUUGUUAACAGAAAUUGCUACCACAUAAUUCUCCUUGAAUCAACCGCAAACCUCGAAGUCACUCAUGCUCCAUAUCUCUGAAACAGUCCUUGACUUAACAUUGAUGUUCUUGAACAGAUUACACUUGAGCAUCACUUUGUACCGUUAUUAUCACAAGUAGGUCACGCGCCUAAAACCACAUGAUUAGAAAGACUUUCGACAUAAAUAUCUUUGCUCCACCAUUUGAUCAACCUGUUCUGCAACAACAGAACCCCACUAACAGAUUUAGUCUCCACUGCUAGUUAAAUGAACUGAGCCUCGUACCAUCUAAUCCAUGAUACGCCUUGGCUCUCCUCACGAGCUGCAUAUAAUGUCUUAUCUAGAAUCCCUAAUAUCCUUCCUUUACUAAUCUGUGACUUCAUUAUCUCAAUACCCUUCUUGUGUUGAGAUGUCUCCAAAACCGAAACAUGUGCAUCACCACAACGACUUGAACACGCCUGUUAGUCAUUGAACUCUCAUGGCCAUCGAUGAGUAUCUGGCCAUUUGCUAAUGGACU
RNAcentral lists this long non-coding RNA (1112 nucleotides) under Brassica napus (rape). RNAcentral's name for it is "long non-coding RNA (BNAP_LNC014908)". The record is from RNAcentral. Lineage: Eukaryota; Viridiplantae; Streptophyta; Magnoliopsida; Brassicales; Brassicaceae.